AAUUCUCAUCAGGUGAGAGAGAGACAUGAGUCAGCCCCACCAACGAGGCAUCAAUACAAUAAUAGUCUGGUGAAGAUUAGGAAGAAAAGGGAUAUUGCUCCUUGGGAAUGUUCAGUAGAGAAACUGACCCAGAAGGUGGAGUCUUACAGAGGGAGGAGGUGGCUUGAGCAAAGAUCCUGGGGUAGCAGGAAAGAGAAGACAGCAGAGUAAUUGAAGGACAGGCGGCAAGUGCAAGGGAGGUUCAGGGCCCCGUGGCAGGGGAAGGCCAGACCAGGCAGGGCCUAAAAUCCUUUUAGUCGUGAUUUCAAGAACAAGAAGGAGUCAUUAAAGAGAUGUAGGAAGGGGUAGGCGCUUGACAUAAUUUGAUCUGUUUCCAAAAGACCACCUUGGCCAAAGGCCCAGAUGACAAUGAUGGUGACCCAUGGAAGCCCAUCUGGGGAGUUUAGUCGCUUGCCUAAACAAGGGGUCCCCAGUUCAGUCUCCUUGUCCUGCACACCCUCCCUUCAUUGAAUUGAAAGUAGUUCAAUAACCCGGUGAUGAAGACCACGGGUCAAGACUCAGACUGUCUAGUUUGAAUCCAGUCUUGUUUCUCACUAGCUACAAGACCUGGGGCAAGUUACAGACUAAUUAUAAACUAGUUAUGACUCCAUCUGGAAAAUGGAGAGGGUGCUAAUAAUAGCCUCUAUUUCAGAGAUGAUGCUAAUGAUAUCCCCACCCUCAUAAGGGUGCUGUAGAGAUUAAGUUCACAUGUGUAGAGCACCAUACAAGUGACAGUUGAUGAAACAAGGGGCCUUCAAAUAAACCUGUGUGCUGAUGUGGGUAGCCAGCCCAUUACAGUGGGCCCAGGUGCCAUCUGAUGGAGAAGUAGCAAACAGACGUCCUGUCUCUGCAGCACCUCCUGUAACAGAACCCACAGGAGCCAGGGGCUUUCAAAACACCCGCCAGGAUGUCCAGGGAUGGUUAUGAGGGCCAGGCUCCAUCAAGACACCCGAACCCCUGCCCCUGGCCACUGGCUGACUGCUGCUGGCGCCCCAACUGUCUGUGAGGGUCUGGAGAGCCCCUAA
This is a long non-coding RNA of Bos indicus x Bos taurus (hybrid cattle), 1064 nucleotides long. Lineage: Eukaryota; Metazoa; Chordata; Mammalia; Artiodactyla; Bovidae. The record is from Ensembl.